This 494-nucleotide ribosomal RNA is filed under the name uncultured bacterium. RNAcentral's name for it is "bacterial SSU rRNA". It matches the Rfam family "Bacterial small subunit ribosomal RNA", at positions 29 to 524 of the family's 1533-position model. The record is from RNAcentral.
AAUGAACGCUGGCGGCACGCUUAACACAUGCAAGUCGAACGCGAAAGUGGGUAACCAUGAGUAGAGUGGCGAACGGGUGAGUAACACGUGAGAAUCUGCCCUUUUGUGGAGGAUACCCUGAAGAAAUUUGGGUUAAUCCUGCAUAAGCUCGAGAGAGGAAAGGUGGCUUUAUGCUACCGCAAAAGGAUGAGCUUGCGGCCUAUCAGCUAGUUGGUGAGGUAAUGGCUCACCAAGGCGUAGACGGGUAGCCGGUUUGAGAGAAUGAUCGGCCACACUGGGACUGAGAUACGGCCCAGACUCCUACGGGAGGCAGCAGUGGGGAAUAUUGCACAAUGGGCGAAAGCCUGAUGCGGCGAUGCCGCGUGAAGGAUGAAGGUUUUCGGAUCGUAAACUUCUGUUAGGUGGGAAGAAAGUACUUUUGGCGAAUAACCAAGAGGGAUGACGGUACCAUCAGAGAAAGCCCCGGCUAACUUCGUGCCAGCAGCCGCCGUAAC